Molecule: non-coding RNA, 123 nt
Organism: Notechis scutatus (mainland tiger snake)
Lineage: Eukaryota; Metazoa; Chordata; Lepidosauria; Squamata; Elapidae
Source: RefSeq, a predicted model, not a curated record
AACUACAACAUUUUGCCAGAGCUCAAGGCCGAGUCGCUGGAGUUUGGAGGGAAGUGACUGGACUUGGCGGGAGUUCAGAAUGGAGGUGGAUUGGAGAAUGUGACUUGAGGAUCAUCAACAGGG